Molecule: non-coding RNA, 136 nt
Organism: Hordeum vulgare subsp. vulgare (domesticated barley)
Lineage: Eukaryota; Viridiplantae; Streptophyta; Magnoliopsida; Poales; Poaceae
Source: Rfam
CAACUACUCCCUCCGUCCCAGAAUUCUUGUCUUAGGUUUGUCUAAAAAUGAAUGUAUCAAAAUACUAAAACGUGACUAGAUACAUUAAUUUGUAGACAAAUCUAAGACAAUUUUUUUGGGACGGAGGGAGUAUGAA